Long non-coding RNA from Cephus cinctus (wheat stem sawfly), 2597 nucleotides. RefSeq lists it as uncharacterized. The transcript has 3 exons. The record is from RefSeq and is a predicted model, not a curated record. Lineage: Eukaryota; Metazoa; Arthropoda; Insecta; Hymenoptera; Cephidae.
GUUCGCUACAACGAGAACAUGGGAUAAGAAAACAGUCGUCUUAUGAGAAAAAAUACGUCCGAAAGAAGUGAUCACUUAUUUGCAGACUGUCGCCAGAGAAUCAAUAACAGGACGCAAAUGAGAAUGAAGAAUCAAAGAGAAAUAGAAAUGAGGACGAUCGAAGGUAGAAAAUCGUUUGUGGGAUCGGUGAAUUGUGAAAUGUGUUUUCUUGAAUAAUGGCAGAAAAAAAUUGGAGAACAAAAACUUUAGAAAGAAACAAGUGCAGGGGUGCUACGAGAGUUGCAGGUUGGUGGUCGUGCUGGUGCAAUUUAUACAGCUCGACAAUAGAAAAACUACAACCCCUUUACGUUAGACCUCAGCGGGCAAAUUCACUCUGUGCCGAGGAAUGAGAACUACGUGGGAUGAUAGGGGAUGAAUCCUUUUUAUUGUAAUACCGUCGGGCUUACUUAGUCUCAGCAUACUACGAAACGUCCGAACGAGAAUUCCCAAAACUCGGUUAGUUAACUCCAUUGGGAAGUUAGAAUGAAAUUGUCGUCGUGCAGCGAAAAUGGGGAUGAGAAAAAAGAGGGUGAAAAUUGAAAAAAAAAGUAUCGUCUGUUAAAAGGUCUGCAAAGGUUAUACUUUGUUUGACCUUGCCACCCCUUAUCUACCCCUCUUCGUCAUUUUACCCUCCCAUCCUUUAAUCAUUUUAGGCUAUUCUGUAUGCGUUAAUCCUAUACAGUCUAAUAGUUGCCAUGGUAACUAUUGUAACUGCGGGUAAUAAGUGUUCGGUAAAUUGUUUAUGUUCGGGGGGGAUUUCCCCUUACGGGUGGGUUCUGGGAAAAUGCUUUGAAUAUUGAAAGAAAACAAAUGUAUAUAUAGGCUAAAGUUUAUAUUUCGUAUCAUUCUAAUAAAAAAUUUUGAAAUGCCUCCCAAGUCGACUGUAUGGUCCCUAUAUGUACUUUUCUUGUUUCAUCGCGAUCUUUAGCCAUCCUACAGAAAAAUUGUCAAUUUUCAAUGAUUUUCUUUUGCCAAAGAUAACGAACCGUUUUCCAUUAUCAGUGGGAAAUAUUUUGAUGGGAUUCUUAUGGCAAUAAGAUGCUGAAAAAAUACAUCUACUUGGGAGGCAUUUGAAAUUUUUUUUAUUCGAAUUCAGAACUGAUUCGAUAUAGACACUUUAGCAUGUGUAUUAUUUACGGCGACUGGAUACUAUAAUGAAGUAAUUCAUGAAUAUACGUGCGUAGUGUAUUAAAGUUUUUUGUAAAAACUAGCGAGAAUAUAAGUAUUAUGAAAAAUUCUUGUUAGUCAGUAAUUUUUGUCUCAGGUUUUUUUCUAUGUAAUUUUCCUCGCGUAUUCAAGAAAUAUGUUUAAAACAAAUUUUUAAAUCCGCAUUUCAUCAAACUCAAAAACGCGAAUAUGCAAAGUUAUUGCAAUGAGAAAUCCGCGGGUAAUGAGACCUGUGUAUACAGGCUGUUAAAAAAAAAAAUGAGAGCGAAAAUGCUAGGAAGAGACAGAAAAGUGUCAUAACAGUGCCAGUCCUAUGUACAGGUAGUAUAAAAUGAACAAAAAGCCCGCGACCCUUGUUCCGGUUGGUGGUUUUACGAAAUUCAUCAAGUUCAACCCUUAUGCGUAAGGAUUUCCAGAAACAGCCCCUAAUCCGUCCUCAUUCUUGUGCAAUACCGUGGCGUUCUCCUUAGGGUGCUCUCCUCCUCCUUCCCCCAUUCCGCUAUUUUCUCGACUGUAAAACUUUUUCGAUUAGCCGCUUCCCCCACGUAUCUUUAAAAGGUCCUGACCCAGUGGCCUCACCUGACUCCUUCGUUCUCUCCCAUAUGCUAUACCGGAUAUCUCCCAUAUACUAUACUUUUCUGUUGCCACUAAUACUAUAUUGCAAGAUACUGUUUGCUGUUGUGAUUCUUACUUUCAUAAUCGCUGACGAGUCUGGUAUCUUGAUUUGUCAGUAUAAAUUAAUUUUUUUUUUUUCCGUUAAAAUGGUUUGUUUUUCAGAUACUCAGAAUUGUAAAAAAAAUUAUUACCGAAAUGUCCUCGUUCCGUCUGGUAAUAAAUUGAAAAUUUAUUACUUCUCCAUAUCAGAACCGUGUAGAUAUAGACUGCUCAUAGAAUUCUAUUUAUAUUUCAUUUCACCUGACUGCCUCUUCACAAUUUCGAUACGGUCGCACGGAGCGAGUGUUGGGAAUGUGGAAAAAAAAAGUAAGGGUGAUAAAAGUUUUGUGAAAUACCCUGUAUUCAAUGUGGCGGAGAGCUUAGAAAAUUUUAUUAUUUUAUUGCUCUCUCUCUCUCUCUCACACUUUUUUUCAAUUUUUUUUUCUUACCGUAUCUUUUCGUGGUAUCAUAUAGAAUACCGUAAACCUUUAUUACACCGCUGUCGGAAUAGAGUUGAAGGAUGAGAGAUCAAGAGAAAGAUAAAAGUGAGGGAGAAAGUAUGGGAAUGUUAUAUAAGUUUUGGUCGAAAGUUUUAGAAAAAAAUUUGUGAAUUUGUCAAAAAAAAUUUGCUUAGAGUACGUAAUGGAGGAUGGAGGAGAUAAAUGAUGAGUGAAUAAAAGAUAGUAAAGAAGGAAGAAGAAAAAAGUAAAACGAUGAAAUCAUCCAGGAAUUCUAUA